UAAUCUUUGAUCUCUGAGAUUGCUACUAAUCUGAGAGAUGGGCCUGCUCGCUAACGGUGAUAUAUUUUCUGAAUUUUGUGCCAAUUCCAGGAGUGAGUGACAAGAUCAUAGAGAUGAGAAGCAAUUGACUAGAAGCUACGGCUCGCUAUCUGGCAGCUUGCGCAGACAAAUUCCCAUAUGCAUGCUGGCAGAGUGGCAGUAAGUUUUCCCCUAAAUUUUAUCCUAGAAACUUCAAUGUUUAGUUGCCAACUGAAAUAUGUGCAAUGAGUUAUUGUUCAUUUCACGCAUCUUGCUGGUAAAACUUGCUAUUAUCUCAUUUUUGUUCCCGGGAGCGCAACCUUGGGAGGGAUAAGGUCAGCUUAUGGCUCUCUGGUCAUUUUGUAAAUCUUGCUAAGUAUUUUUUUUUUGUUAUUGAUGGCCUCUUUAGCACGCAUCUAGUUUGUCGCCAUUUUCGUUUCUCUUGAAGCUAAAAGCGUUGCAACAACAGCUUGCUUGCUCGAGACCUAUUAUCAUAGCCAAAAUAUCAAAACUGGAGGUUUGGAGAUGAUCCUAUAGUGGCUGGAAAUGCAGUUGGUUACAGCUGAUUUACCAUUUGGAUUGCAUCUCGGAUUUACCCAUUAGAUUUCAUCUCAGAGUUUGUAAGGCCUUCAACUGUUAAUUAACUUCUGGUAGGAAGGUUUUCUAUACUGAUGUAUGCUUCUCAAAUUGAAUGUAAAAGUCUUAAUCAUUGCAAUAAUAAAAUCUUAAUUGUUUUUUGUCUUUUA
Oryza sativa Japonica Group (Japanese rice) is the source of this 764-nucleotide non-coding RNA. The record is from RefSeq and is a predicted model, not a curated record. Lineage: Eukaryota; Viridiplantae; Streptophyta; Magnoliopsida; Poales; Poaceae.